UACGGAGGGGGCUAGCGUUGUUCGGAAUUACUGGGCGUAAAGCGCACGUAGGCGGAUUGUUAAGUCGGGGGUGAAAGCCCGAGGCUCAACCUCGGAAUUGCCCUCGAUACUGGCAGUCUUGAGUCCGGAAGAGGUGAGUGGAAUUCCUAGUGUAGAGGUGAAAUUCGUAGAUAUUAGGAAGAACACCAGUGGCGAAGGCGGCUCACUGGUCCGGUACUGACGCUGAGGUGCGAAAGCGUGGGGAGCAAACAGG
This 253-nucleotide unclassified non-coding RNA is filed under the name Hyphomicrobiales bacterium. RNAcentral's name for it is "partial 16S ribosomal RNA". It matches the Rfam family "Bacterial small subunit ribosomal RNA", at positions 524 to 776 of the family's 1533-position model. The record is from RNAcentral. RNAcentral also lists the same sequence under 1 other name. Lineage: Bacteria; Pseudomonadati; Pseudomonadota; Alphaproteobacteria; Hyphomicrobiales.